Molecule: long non-coding RNA, 480 nt
Filed under: Androctonus crassicauda
Lineage: Eukaryota; Metazoa; Arthropoda; Arachnida; Scorpiones; Buthidae
Source: RNAcentral
AGAAUAUUUAAUUAUUAAAGUAAUUAUUAAUAUUUAAUUAUUAAUUAAAUAUCAUGUUAUAUGGCGAGUAAACAAAAACUAGCAGCAACAAUCAAAACCAAUGAAACACUUUAAAACUUUUGAAAAACUAAAUCUAUCCUAACCUUAAAGGAAGAUUUCCUUUAUGUGAACCAUGGACAAACUUGAGAGAGAUCUAUGCUUCUUUCCUUCUUAGUUGUUUUACUUUUAGGAUCACAAUUCAAAAUAAUAAUGGACAACACCAUUGGACAAAUUCAGAUAGCAGUAAAUGAAGUAGACCAGAAAUUGAGAGAAAGUAAAAAAGUGACUUUGUCUUUCUCUGAGUUAAUUAUUUUUCUAACUUUGAAUUUCCUGUCCACUAAUCACAUUAAUGGAGAAAGAGGUUCAAAUUCAUUUUUGAUUAUACAGUCAUUGUCAAAAACAAAAAAAUCAGAAACCAAGAAGGAAUUGUCAGAAUCAAAU